Molecule: ribosomal RNA, 770 nt
Filed under: uncultured soil bacterium
Lineage: Bacteria
Description: bacterial SSU rRNA
Rfam family: Bacterial small subunit ribosomal RNA
Source: RNAcentral
AGAGUUUGAUCAUGGCUCAGGACGAACGCUUGCGGCAUGCCUGAGAAAUGCAAGUCGAACGAGUUAAAGAGAGCAAUCUCUUUAGCUAGUGGCGAACGGUCGAGUAACACGUAAGCAACCUGCCCACCAGCGGGGGAUAAGCCGUCGAAAGACGGGGUAAUACCGCAUAUCUUCAUGUAGGACAUCCUUAAUGAAGAAAGAUUUAUCACUGGUGGAGGGGCUUGCGGCCUAUCAGCUAGUUGGUCGGGGUAACGGCCCACCAAGGCGACGACGGGUAGCUGGUCUGAGAGGACGGCCAGCCGGACUGGGACUGAGACACGGCCCAGACUCCUACGGGGGGCAGCAAUCAGGAAUCUUGCGCAAUGGGCGAAAGCCUGACGCAGCGAUGCCGCGUGGACGAUGAAGUCUUUCGGGAUGUAAAGUCCUUUUUCAGGGGAAGAUAAUGACGGUACCCUGAGAAUAAGCCCCGGCUAACUACGUGCCAGCAGCCGCGGUAAUACGUAGGGGGCGAGCGUUGUCCGGAAUUAUUGGGCGUAAAGAGCGUGUAGGCGGUUCGGUAAGUCUGCCGUGAAACCCUAGGGCUCAGCCCUAGGCGUGCGGUGGAUACUGCCGGGCUAGAGGGUGGUAGAGGCGAGUGGAAUUCCCGGUGUAGCGGUGAAAUGCGCAGAUAUCGGGAGGAACACCAGUAGCGAAGGCGGCUCGCUGGGCCAUUCCUGACGCUGAGACGCGAAAGCAUGGGGAGCGAACAGGAUUAGAUACCCUAGUAGUCC